ACGACUCCCUGGGGCCGCUCCUGAGCUGCGGGGACUGCGUUGCGGGGCCGCCGCCGCAGGCCCGGCCUGGGAGUCGGGCUGCUCGGACCGGCCCCACGCGCGCGCUCGGCCGCCGGGAGCGCAGGGCGGUGCCGGAAUGUUCCCGUUUCGUGGGAAUUGAGUAACGCGAAGCCCCGGACUUAGACACACGGGCCUUCCCCUCCCCGCGGGCCCUGCCUGUCGCAGGGUGCCAUCCCCUGGGAGCGCCCGCCCUGCUCGGAGGGGUUGCUUCCUCCCGUGGUUCCGGGAGUAAAGACGGGGGCCGAGCGAGCCCUCGCGUGACCGCCUCGCCCCGUGUCGCCGCGUCUGGUCUCUGUUGUGAGCGCUCGGGCCACCUUGGAAACGCGGUGCUGCUGAGCCGCCGGUUGCAGGUUUCAAGAGGGCAUUGACAUUUAAGAUGCUCCGAGAGCUUCUUACCUGUCCUUUCCUGAGGAUGCCUGUCUUAGAUGUCAAGCUGAAAACAAACAAGAGGAUUGUGUUGACAGCCACUUUGAAAAUUUCAUUGUUUGUCACAUGAGGAAUUGCACUGCUUAUUGAUGACAACACAAUUUAUCAGCACUUCCAGGAAACAACUCAGCAGAUGUACAGCUGAUAAUAUUUAGAAGCAUGUCAUCUAUUCAUAAUACCUACUUAUGAACUUGAAAACACUUAAAACUCAUAUCUUAAUAAAUAAAAAUCAGGAGGAUAUUUUUUAGUAAAAUAAAGCCAAAAAACAUCUCCAAGGUCAGUGCAUGACUGAGAACUCAGGUCUGGGAUCUAAGGAAGACUCAAGUCCUUUAAUCUCCUAACUUCAGGAAGACAGCAUAUGGAGCUGUAUAGGAACCAGGGCCACCACAUCAUUCACAGAUUCUAGAGCUGUGGUGGGACGGCCCCUAAGCACAAACCUUACACAUUGGUCUGGGGAGAAUGUAAUCAUUCCUUCCACAACUGCUGCAUGUCCCUGUGGGUGAAACAGAACAAUCGCUGCCCUCUCUGCCAGCAAGACUGGGUGGUCCAAAGAAUCGGCAAAUGAGAGUGGUGAAAGGGCUUCUUAGUGCAUUUGUCCAGAGCCCUGGUGGAUCGCCUUAUCAAGUGCCCUACAACGACCAGGACACUCCGGAGGACUAAGUCUUCCAAUAGGGAGGAGAUGGAUCUUUGGUCCUUGAGGACUCAUCCAAGGCAUUGGGUUAGCAUUUUGUCAGUUUCAUUUUCAGAAAUUCUCUACAAUUAAGAAGAUAAUUUAUUAAAGAUGGCCUUUCCUAUCUCUGUGGUAUGUGUCACACUGCUUAGAAGUGCUAUAAAGGAGGAGAGAACUACAAAUUGACCUUUAUAAUUUACUUAUUGAUAUGUAAGGGACUGUGGAAGCAGUUCCGUUGGAAGUGAACUUUUGCAUGCUUUAAGGUUGAUCAGUUAAAAAAAAAGACAAUGUUAUAGUAACAAAUAAAAUGCAGUUUAAAACCCAACUCUUAUCCUUAAUUUGUUCUUGAUAUUUAUUUUAGACAGGAAAAGGGGUGAUUCAUUAAAUAUUUAUUUGAUAUGACAAUUUUAAGUUUGGGCCAGAGAGCAGAGUAAAUAAGAUUUCAUCUUUGGGCAUAUGGGAUUUUGCUUGUCUUUUAGGUUUUCGUUCUCUAUCAUUGACUCGUCAGAAAACCCUAGAUCUGCACACCUCACUGUUCAGUCAUUCACUGGGAAAGAACAGGGGUAUUUUCAAGUUUUAACCAGAGUAUGGUAUAAUUUAACUGUUUCAGGUGGACUGUUAAUAAGGGGGAAAUGUUUACCACUCUAGCAUCGGAUCAAAAAAAGUUUAUUUUAUUACACAGUGUUUUAAUAAACAGUUUAUUCUGUUUACUUCAUUUAAAUUGUCAUUAUUGCAAUUUUAUGCACAACCUUAAACUUGAUAUUAAUAAACUGAUUUGUCAAGUG
Molecule: RNA transcript, 1941 nt
Organism: Myotis lucifugus (little brown bat)
Lineage: Eukaryota; Metazoa; Chordata; Mammalia; Chiroptera; Vespertilionidae
Gene: RNF7
Gene name: ring finger protein 7
Exons: 4
Source: RefSeq, a predicted model, not a curated record